RNAcentral lists this ribosomal RNA (497 nucleotides) under uncultured bacterium. RNAcentral's name for it is "partial 16S ribosomal RNA". It matches the Rfam family "Bacterial small subunit ribosomal RNA", at positions 28 to 507 of the family's 1533-position model. The record is from RNAcentral.
GAUGAACGCUGGCGGCGUGCCUAAUACAUGCAAGUCGAGCGAACAGACGAGGAGCUUGCUCCUCUGACGUUAGCGGCGGACGGGUGAGUAACACGUGGAUAACCUACCUAUAAGACUGGGAUAACUUCGGGAAACCGGAGCUAAUACCGGAUAAUAUAUUGAACCGCAUGGUUCAAUAGUGAAAGACGGUUUUGCUGUCACUUAUAGAUGGAUCCGCGCCGCAUUAGCUAGUUGGUAAGGUAACGGCUUACCAAGGCGACGAUGCGUAGCCGACCUGAGAGGGUGAUCGGCCACACUGGAACUGAGACACGGUCCAGACUCCUACGGGAGGCAGCAGUAGGGAAUCUUCCGCAAUGGGCGAAAGCUUGACGGAGCAACGCCGCGUGAGUGAUGAAGGUCUUCGGAUCGUAAAACUCUGUUAUUAGGGAAGAACAAAUGUGUAAGUAACUAUGCACGUCUUGACGGUAUCUAAUCAGAAAGCCACGGCUAACUACGUG